GAUGAAGAACGCAGCGAAAUGCGAUAAGUAAUGUGAAUUGCAGAAUUCAGUGAAUCAUCGAAUCUUUGAACGCACAUUGCGCCCGCCAGAAUUCUGGCGGGCAUGCCUGUUCGAGCGUCAUUUCAACCCUCGAGCUCCCCUUGGGGAGCCCGGCGUUGGGGACCGGCAGUAACACCGCCGGCCCCGAAAUGGAGUGGCGGCCCCGCCCGCGGCGACCUCUGCGUAGUAAAUCCACUCGCACCGGGACCCGGGCGCGGCCACGCCGUAAAACACCCAACUUCCGAAUGUUGACCUCGAAUCAGGUAGGAAUACCCGCUGAACUUAAGCAUAUCAAUAAGCGGAGGA
This 345-nucleotide unclassified non-coding RNA is filed under the name soil metagenome. Its description in RNAcentral is "partial contains 5.8S ribosomal RNA, internal transcribed spacer 2, and large subunit ribosomal RNA". The stretch from base 1 to 120 matches the Rfam family "5.8S ribosomal RNA", at positions 35 to 154 of the family's 154-position model. The record is from RNAcentral.